Lolium perenne is the source of this 545-nucleotide long non-coding RNA. RefSeq lists it as uncharacterized. The record is from RefSeq and is a predicted model, not a curated record. NCBI's taxonomy places the organism in Eukaryota, Viridiplantae, Streptophyta, Magnoliopsida, Poales, Poaceae.
CCCUUUCCUCACUAGAAAAGAAUGCCCGGUCCAUGGUUCCAUGGCUUUGAGGCGGAGCUAGAGUAAAGAAGACGGCGGCAAGAACCCUAACUGCGAGAAGUCUCGACUCCCCCGAGCAGCGCCAUGCCGCCAGUGGUGUUGAAUGUUGAUGACAUAAAUCGGGACUACAACUCCGAUGAGGAACAGGUUCGCAGGAAGGACAUACCGGACCGCAGGAUAUGGAUAAGAUCGUUCUUUUUGCGGUGGUGGCUAAAGCAUUCUGCGUAGUGUGUGUUUGUGCCCAGAAUUUGCAUCCUGCAGCACAUGUUUGGUGUUUUGUCCUAGCAUUGCAAGUGCUCUUUAAUCAAGCAGAGACCUUUGCUAAAUUCUGAUCUUCAUAUGCUACCUGAGGCUGGCACUAUUUUCUAUUGUACUGAGUUUAACGAGCAAUCUCUUUGCGCAUUGUUGUUUAAUUUAGUGUGAUGGAAUGAGAACAAUGCCUGAAUUUUUCUGUUUCGUUCCAGUAAGAACCAAAGUUCAAACUUGGUACAAUUUGAUUUAUGAUA